Molecule: ribosomal RNA, 582 nt
Filed under: Shigella sonnei
Lineage: Bacteria; Pseudomonadati; Pseudomonadota; Gammaproteobacteria; Enterobacterales; Enterobacteriaceae
Description: partial 23S ribosomal RNA
Rfam family: Bacterial large subunit ribosomal RNA
Source: RNAcentral
UGGAAGCGUCUGGAAAGGCGCGCGAUACAGGGUGACAGCCCCGUACACAAAAAUGCACAUAUUGUGAGCUCGAUGAGUAGGGCGGGACACGUGGUAUCCUGUCUGAAUAUGGGGGGCCCAUCCUCCAAGGCUAAAUACUCCUGACUGACCGAUAGUGAACCAGUACCGUGAGGGAAAGGCGAAAAGAACCCCGGCGAGGGGAGUGAAAAAGAACCUGAAACCGUGUACGUACAAGCAGUGGGAGCACGCUUAGGCGUGUGACUGCGUACCUUUUGUAUAAUGGGUCAGCGACUUAUAUUCUGUAGCAAGGUUAACCGAAUAGGGGAGCCGAAGGGAAACCGAGUCUUAACUGGGCGUUAAGUUGCAGGGUAUAGACCCGAAACCCGGUGAUCUAGCCAUGGGCAGGUUGAAGGUUGGGUAACACUAACUGGAGGACCGAACCGACUAAUGUUGAAAAAUUAGCGGAUGACUUGUGGCUGGGGGUGAAAGGCCAAUCAAACCGGGAGAUAGCUGGUUCUCCCCGAAAGCUAUUUAGGUAGCGCCUCGUGAAUUCAUCUCCGGGGGUAGAGCACUGUUUCGGCA